AUGCGCAGUAGCCGGACUCGGCGGCUCUUCCGGUUAAAGGAUGACGUCAGGGACACGCGCAAGCAAGACGGUCUUUUCCGGUUCGGAGCGGCGAGGAGUGUGGCAGCUGAGACAUCGUGGCCCCGGAGAUCAGGCUCCUCAGGAGAUGUUGCUCCGUCAGAUGGAAGGUCUCUCUCUGGUUCUGGUUCAGCACUCAGGAGAUGUUUGCCAGCUCCUGCAGAUGCUGGUGAAUGUGGUCAUUAAUGGUGUUUGGGUCAGGAGGAGCGUCGAGCGUCUCAACAGUGCUGUCACCGGAUCAUCACACCACUACCACCAAAGAUGAGCUGGAAAGUUUAACAGUUGGGCUUCACACAUCUGUUGCUUUAUAAACUUAUGAAUAAAUGAUAUUUCAUAACAGAAAUAUGAAAUGGA
Cyprinus carpio (common carp) is the source of this 411-nucleotide long non-coding RNA. The record is from Ensembl. NCBI's taxonomy places the organism in Eukaryota, Metazoa, Chordata, Actinopteri, Cypriniformes, Cyprinidae.